RNAcentral lists this small RNA (29 nucleotides) under Bombyx mori (domestic silkworm). Its description in RNAcentral is "piRNA piR-bmo-2185560". The record is from RNAcentral. Lineage: Eukaryota; Metazoa; Arthropoda; Insecta; Lepidoptera; Bombycidae.
UGAGAAUCGCCUGUGCUUGUAAGCACCAU